Molecule: long non-coding RNA, 1113 nt
Organism: Rhea pennata
Lineage: Eukaryota; Metazoa; Chordata; Aves; Rheiformes; Rheidae
Exons: 5
Source: RefSeq, a predicted model, not a curated record
GCGGCGGCGGCAGGUGGGACGCGGCCUCCGCUCGCCGCGGCGCGCGGGGAGCUGUAGGAGCCGGCAGCGGCUCGUGUCCUCGGCGCCGGCCCACCUCUGACCACAGACAAGCAAACUGGCCAUUAAAGCAAGCCUAAGCUGGAAACAUAGCUGUACUUAAUCUCCUCUUAGUACUAGAAGAGUGCAAAAACAUAGUGGGAUCCAUCUAGCCCUGUAUCUCAUCUCCAGCGGCAGCCAAGAGUGGGUGCUUAAUGAAACAAUGUAAAAAUAGACCAGAGGUGCAGAUUUUCCAGAGUCAGAUGAAUUUGUGUGCUGUUACCAGGAGAAGAAUUUGUCACGAAAGUAUGGGAAAAGCAUGGAGCUGACAUCUGUUACAAGCCACUCACAUAGUGAUGUGAGACACACACAGACACAGAGUCAAAAGCACUUUUCUUCAGCUGCUUGUCGGUGCUUUUCUGGCUAUAGAAAGCCUUGGUUUUCAAAGUAAUAUGCAGAAGUUACACCAAAACUGUGCCUGUUUUUAAGACAGAUCAGAACUUAUAUGCACUAGCAAAAUAUUCACAGGUUUAGCUGGUUUCAAAUGCUUUUUUAUUCAUUCUAACCAAUGCAUGAAUAAAAUGCUGCAAUAAAAAUUGAAUAAAAUGCAAUGAUGCUGCCCUUUAGGCAUCUUGUACUUUAAGGUCAAGCUUGCCGUUUCAGAAUUUUGCUCGACUUAGGUAUCUCUCUUGGAGGGGGGAAAAAAAAACACAGGAUUAAAAAGAAAUGCCUACCGGAACAUAUUUUUUUUAUUUUUACAGAUUUACAAGAUAUCUGACUAGAUAUUGUGGACAUUUCCAAAUUUUUUUAAAAAUAAAAAAUAUGCUUUUGAGUAAUGAUCACACGUGGAAAAAAAGGGACUAGUUUUCAGUUUCUGAAAAGAUUCUGAAAUAGCAGUUAAGCUUGGAACUCCUGCCAAGUUAACCAUUAUGACCUAAAUUAGAAGUUGGACAAAUCCUUUAAAGUUUGUAAAAUUGUCAUAUACAUGACUGAUGUAAGUCAAACAAUUUAUGCAUUAAACAAUUUGUUAUUUUCCUAUGGAUGUUAUUCCCAUAGUUUUUACUGUUGUUAAAAGUC